AUUAAACGCUGGCGGCAUGCCUUACACAUGCAAGUCGAACGGCAGCACGGGGGCAACCCUGGUGGCGAGUGGCGAACGGGUGAGUAAAGCAUCGGAACGUGCCCUGGAGUGGGGGAUAACGUAGCGAAAGUUACGCUAAUACCGCAUAUUCUGUGAGCAGGAAAGCAGGGGAUCGCAAGACCUUGCGCUCUGGGAGCGGCCGAUGUCGGAUUAGCUAGUUGGUGGGGUAAAGGCCUACCAAGGCGACGAUCCGUAGCGGGUCUGAGAGGAUGAUCCGCCACACUGGGACUGAGACACGGCCCAGACUCCUACGGGAGGCAGCAGUGGGGAAUUUUGGACAAUGGGCGAAAGCCUGAUCCAGCCAUGCCGCGUGAGUGAAGAAGGCCUUCGGGUUGGUUAAAGGUACGU
RNAcentral lists this ribosomal RNA (408 nucleotides) under uncultured bacterium. Its description in RNAcentral is "bacterial SSU rRNA". It matches the Rfam family "Bacterial small subunit ribosomal RNA", at positions 29 to 436 of the family's 1533-position model. The record is from RNAcentral.